GAUGAACGCUGGCGGCGUGCCUAAUACAUGCAAGUCGAGCGAACAGACGAGGAGCUUGCUCCUCUGACGUUAGCGGCGGACGGGUGAGUAACACGUGGAUAACCUACCUAUAAGACUGGGAUAACUUCGGGAAACCGGAGCUAAUACCGGAUAAUAUAUUGAACCGCAUGGUUCAAUAGUGAAAGACGGUUUUGCUGUCACUUAUAGAUGGAUCCGCGCCGCAUUAGCUAGUUGGUAAGGUAACGGCUUACCAAGGCAACGAUGCGUAGCCGACCUGAGAGGGUGAUCGGCCACACUGGAACUGAGACACGGUCCAGACUCCUACGGGAGGCAGCAGUAGGGAAUCUUCCGCAAUGGGCGAAAGCCUGACGGAGCAACGCCGCGUGAGUGAUGAAGGUCUUCGGAUCGUAAAACUCUGUUAUUAGGGAAGAACAAAUGUGUAAGUAACUAUGCACGUCUUAACGGUACCUAAUCAGAAAGCCACGGCUAACUACGU
RNAcentral lists this ribosomal RNA (496 nucleotides) under uncultured bacterium. RNAcentral's name for it is "partial 16S ribosomal RNA". It matches the Rfam family "Bacterial small subunit ribosomal RNA", at positions 28 to 506 of the family's 1533-position model. The record is from RNAcentral.